CCUACGGGGGGCAGCAGUGGGGAAUAUUGGGCAAUGGGCGCAAGCCUGACCCAGCAACGCCGCGUGAAGGAAGAAUGCUUUCGGGUUGUAAACUUCUUUUCUUAGGGACGAAGAAAGUGACGGUACCUCAGGAAUAAGCCACGGCUAACUACGUGCCAGCAGCCGCGGUAAUACGUAGGUGGCAAGCGUUAUCCGGAUUUAUUGGGUGUAAAGGGCGUGUAGGCGGGAAAGCAAGUCAGAUGUGAAAAUUCAGGGCUCAACCCUGAGCCUGCAGUUGAAACUGUUUUCCUUGAGUGCUGGAGAGGCAAUCGGAAUUCGGUGUGUAGCGGUGAAAUGCUUAGAUAUACGGAGGAACACCAGUGGCGAAGGCGGACUGCUGGACAGUAACUGACGCUGAGGCGCGAAAGCGUGGGUAGCAAACAGGAUUAGAUACCCUAGUAGUC
This 443-nucleotide ribosomal RNA is filed under the name uncultured bacterium. Its description in RNAcentral is "partial 16S ribosomal RNA". It matches the Rfam family "Bacterial small subunit ribosomal RNA", at positions 338 to 795 of the family's 1533-position model. The record is from RNAcentral.